GAUAGUUGUAUGUGUGAGUGUAUGCGAGUGGGAGAGAAAGGCUUUUUAUUUUUACUUUAUGUGAUUACAUGGUUGUUAUGAGCCCUAUGAUUAGGAAAUAAAAUAUCUUUAUCUUUUAUCAACUCCCAAAAUCAAUCCCAACCUUCUUUUUGUGGUCAUAAACCUUGUGUUUAAAUUUCAUUGAUUUCUAUUUACUUAUACUAAAGUUAUUUG
RNAcentral lists this long non-coding RNA (213 nucleotides) under Mytilus galloprovincialis (Mediterranean mussel). Lineage: Eukaryota; Metazoa; Mollusca; Bivalvia; Mytilida; Mytilidae. The record is from RNAcentral.